This 596-nucleotide ribosomal RNA is filed under the name uncultured bacterium. RNAcentral's name for it is "bacterial SSU rRNA". It matches the Rfam family "Bacterial small subunit ribosomal RNA", at positions 246 to 839 of the family's 1533-position model. The record is from RNAcentral.
UAGUUGGUGGGGUAACGGCUCACCAAGACAACGAUACAUAGGGGGACUGAGAGGUUAACCCCCCACAUUGGUACUGAGACACGGACCAAACUCCUACGGGAGGCAGCAGUGAGGAAUAUUGGUCAAUGGACGCAAGUCUGAACCAGCCAUGCCGCGUGCAGGAAGACGGCUCUAUGAGUUGUAAACUGCUUUUGUACGAGGGUAAACGCAGAUACGUGUAUCUGUCUGAAAGUAUCGUACGAAUAAGGAUCGGCUAACUCCGUGCCAGCAGCCGCGGUAAUACGGAGGAUUCAAGCGUUAUCCGGAUUUAUUGGGUUUAAAGGGUGCGUAGGCGGUCGGAUAAGUUAGAGGUGAAAUCCCGGGGCUCAACUUCGGAAUUGCCUCUGAUACUGUUCGGCUAGAGAGUAGUUGCGGUAGGCGGAAUGUAUGGUGUAGCGGUGAAAUGCUUAGAGAUCAUACAGAACACCGAUUGCGAAGGCAGCUUACCAAGCUACUUCUGACGUUGAGGCACGAAAGCGUGGGGAGCAAACAGGAUUAGAUACCCUGGUAGUCCACGCAGUAAACGAUGAUAACUCGUUGUCGGCGAUACAGUGUCG